GAUGAACGCUAGCGACAGGCUUAACACAUGCAAGUCGAGGGGCAGCAAGAAUCGUAGCAAUACAAUUUGUUGGCGACCGGCGCACGGGUGAGUAACGCGUAUGCAACCUACCUAUCAGAGGGGGAUAGCCCGGUGAAAGCCGGAUUAAUACCGCAUAAAACAGGGGUCCCGCAUGGGAAUAUUUGUUAAAGAUUAAUUGCUGAUAGAUGGGCAUGCGUUCCAUUAGUUAGUUGGUGUAGGUAACGGCUCACCAAGACAUCGAUGGAUAGGGGUUCUGAGAGGAAGGUCCCCCACACUGGUACUGAGACACGGACCAGACUCCUACGGGAGGCAGCAGUGGGGGAUAUUGCACAAUGGGCGCAAGCCUGAUGCAGCAACGCCGCGUGAAGGAAGACGGUUUUCGGAUUGUAAACUUCUGUUCUUAGUGAAGAAGAAUGACGGUAACUAAGGAGCAAGCCACGGCUAACUACGUGCCAGCAGCCGCAGUAACC
Molecule: ribosomal RNA, 491 nt
Filed under: uncultured bacterium
Lineage: Bacteria
Description: bacterial SSU rRNA
Rfam family: Bacterial small subunit ribosomal RNA
Source: RNAcentral